UCAUCUCCAAACCUUGCUCCCAGCAUGGAAUACCUCAAACAAGUUAGGCACUACUUGCGUUCCGUUGUUUGCAAAGUUUUCUUUUGACCGCUGUAGAAGCAGGAACUAAUUACAUGCGGAGAUUGAGACGCAGAAAGAAACGCAGACGAUCUUGAGGCACUGCGUAACUCUUUCUUUGAUUCUCAUCUCUAUGGUUGACAUGGGGAUCACUCUAUACUCUGGAGGACUCAGCGAGCGUGCCCAAUCAGGAGGCCAUUUUGCGGGCACGUGGAUUGAAAUAUGACUUACUAUUGGUUAGUAGUGGUGAAGCCCGCCCAACCACCCUGUCUGCUCCUUUAAGUAGAAGCCGGGAAGCCACCUCAGUCUUUCCGCGACUGUGAAGCUGGGCAGCUGCCGGCCGCCCCGAGAAUGUCGGAUCUCACGUUCAUCCCAGCCCUCCGGUCGACCCUCUCCUGCACCCUUUAAUAAAAUGGAUUGAUUCUA
Non-coding RNA from Manis javanica (Malayan pangolin), 483 nucleotides. NCBI's taxonomy places the organism in Eukaryota, Metazoa, Chordata, Mammalia, Pholidota, Manidae. The record is from RefSeq and is a predicted model, not a curated record.